GACGAACGCUGGCGGCGUGCUUAACACAUGCAAGUCGAACGGAAAGGCCCUGCUUUUGUGGGGUGCUCGAGUGGCGAACGGGUGAGUAACACGUGAGUAACCUGCCCUUGACUUUGGGAUAACUUCAGGAAACUGGGGCUAAUACCGGAUAGGAGCUCCUGCUGCAUGGUGGGGGUUGGAAAGUUUCGGCGGUUGGGGAUGGACUCGCGGCUUAUCAGCUUGUUGGUGGGGUAGUGGCUUACCAAGGCUUUGACGGGUAGCCGGCCUGAGAGGGUGACCGGCCACAUUGGGACUGAGAUACGGCCCAGACUCCUACGGGAGGCAGCAGUGGGGAAUAUUGCACAAUGGGCGGAAGCCUGAUGCAGCAACGCCGCGUGCGGGAUGACGGCCUUCGGGUUGUAAACCGCUUUCGCCUGUGACGAAGCGUGAGUGACGGUAAUGGGUAAAGAAGCACCGGCUAACUACGUGCCAGCAGCCGCGGUGAUACGUAGGGUGCGAGCGUUGUCCGGAUUUAUUGGGCGUAAAGGGCUCGUAGGUGGUUGAUCGCGUCGGAAGUGUAAUCUUGGGGCUUAACCCUGAGCGUGCUUUCGAUACGGGUUGACUUGAGGAAGGUAGGGGAGAAUGGAAUUCCUGGUGGAGCGGUGGAAUGCGCAGAUAUCAGGAGGAACACCAGUGGCGAAGGCGGUUCUCUGGGCCUUUCCUGACGCUGAGGAGCGAAAGCGUGGGGAGCGAACAGGCUUAGAUACCCUGGUAGUCCACGCUGUAAACGGUGGGUACUGGGUGUGGGGUCCAUUCCACGGGUUCCGUGCCGUAGCUAACGCUUUAAGUACCCCGCCUGGGGAGUACGGCCGCAAGGCUAAAACUCAAAGGAAUUGACGGGGCCCCGCACAAGCGGCGGAGCAUGCGGAUUAAUUCGAUGCAACGCGUAGAACCUUACCUGGGUUUGACAUGGAUCGGGAGUGCUCAGAGAUGGGUGUGCCUCUUUUGGGGUCGGUUCACAGGUGGUGCAUGGCUGUCGUCAGCCCGUGUCGUGAGAUGUUGGGUUAAGUCCCGCAACGAGCGCAACCCUUGUUCACUGUUGCCAGCACGUUAUGGUGGGGACUCAGUGGAGACCGCCGGGGUCAACUCGGAGGAAGGUGGGGAUGACGUCAAGUCAUCAUGCCCCUUAUGUCCAGGGCUUCACGCAUGCUACAAUGGCUGGUACAGAGAGUGGCGAGCCUGUGAGGGUGAGCGAAUCUCGGAAAGCCGGUCUCAGUUCGGAUUGGGGUCUGCAACUCGACCUCAUGAAGUCGGAGUCGCUAGUAAUCGCAGAUCAGCAACGCUGCGGUGAAUACGUUCCCGGG
This 1343-nucleotide ribosomal RNA is filed under the name uncultured bacterium. RNAcentral's name for it is "16S ribosomal RNA". It matches the Rfam family "Bacterial small subunit ribosomal RNA", at positions 28 to 1378 of the family's 1533-position model. The record is from RNAcentral.